CCUACGGGCGGCAGCAGUGGGGAAUAUUGGACAAUGGGGGCAACCCUGAUCCAGCCAUGCCGCGUGUGUGAAGAAGGCCCUCGGGUUGUAAAGCACUUUCAGUGAGGAAGAACGCCUGGUGGUUAAUACCCAUCAGGAAAGACAUCACUCACAGAAGAAGCACCGGCUAACUCCGUGCCAGCAGCCGCGGUAAUACGGAGGGUGCGAGCGUUAAUCGGAAUUACUGGGCGUAAAGCGCGCGUAGGUGGCUUGAUAAGCCGGUUGUGAAAGCCCCGGGCUCAACCUGGGAACGGCAUCCGGAACUGUCAAGCUAGAGUGCAGGAGAGGAAGGUAGAAUUACCGGUGUAGCGGUGAAAUGCGUAGAGAUCGGGAGGAAUACCAGUGGCGAAGGCGGCCUUCUGGACUGACACUGACACUGAGGUGCGAAAGCGUGGGUAGCAAACAGGAUUAGAUACCCUGGUAGUC
This 465-nucleotide ribosomal RNA is filed under the name Vreelandella stevensii. RNAcentral's name for it is "partial 16S ribosomal RNA". It matches the Rfam family "Bacterial small subunit ribosomal RNA", at positions 338 to 795 of the family's 1533-position model. Lineage: Bacteria; Pseudomonadati; Pseudomonadota; Gammaproteobacteria; Oceanospirillales; Halomonadaceae. The record is from RNAcentral.